Molecule: ribosomal RNA, 625 nt
Filed under: Vibrio cholerae
Lineage: Bacteria; Pseudomonadati; Pseudomonadota; Gammaproteobacteria; Vibrionales; Vibrionaceae
Description: partial 23S ribosomal RNA
Rfam family: Bacterial large subunit ribosomal RNA
Source: RNAcentral
UGUAUGGUUAAGUGACUAAGCGUACACGGUGGAUGCCUGGGCAGUCAGAGGCGAUGAAGGACGUACUAACUUGCGAUAAGCGCAGAUAAGGCAGUAAGAGCCGUUUGAGUCUGCGAUUUCCGAAUGGGGAAACCCAACUGCAUAAGCAGUUACUGUUAACUGAAUACAUAGGUUAACAGAGCAAACCGGGGGAACUGAAACAUCUAAGUACCCCGAGGAGAAGAAAUCAACCGAGAUUCCGGUAGUAGCGGCGAGCGAACCUGGAUUAGCCCUUAAGCACUCGGUGAAGUAGGUGAACAAGCUGGAAAGCUUGGCGAUACAGGGUGAUAGCCCCGUAACCGACGCUUCAUCGAGCGUGAAAUCGAGUAGGGCGGGACACGUGAUAUCCUGUCUGAAUAUGGGGGGACCAUCCUCCAAGGCUAAAUACUCCUGACUGACCGAUAGUGAACCAGUACCGUGAGGGAAAGGCGAAAAGAACCCCUGUGAGGGGAGUGAAAUAGAACCUGAAACCGUGUACGUACAAGCAGUAGGAGCACCUUCGUGGUGUGACUGCGUACCUUUUGUAUAAUGGGUCAGCGACUUAUAUUCAGUGGCAAGGUUAACCGUAUAGGGGAGCCGUAGCGAA